GAGCCUGAUCUGUUUCUGAGAUCAAACAGAGCAGCAUUGUACAGGGGUGU
MicroRNA precursor from Rhinolophus ferrumequinum (greater horseshoe bat), 50 nucleotides. The record is from Ensembl. NCBI's taxonomy places the organism in Eukaryota, Metazoa, Chordata, Mammalia, Chiroptera, Rhinolophidae.